GUGGACAUAACAUAAAAGUGGAGGCUAUUGUAACUGAAGAGAACUGGAAAGUUCCACCGUAGAAGGUAAUAGUCCUGUAAGUGAAACGAGAAGACCACGAGUUAUGAUCCAGAGUACCACGAGACACGUGAAACCUUGUGGGAAGCAGGGAGGACACCUCCCAAGGCUAAAUACUACCUGAUGACCGAUAGUGAAGCAGUACCGUGAGGGAAAGGUGAAAAGAACCCCGGGAGGGGAGUGAAAUAGAACCUGAAACCGUGUGCCUACAACCGCUCAGAGCCCCUUAUGAGGGUGAUGAGGUGCUUUUUGUAGAACGAGCCAACGAGUUACGGUAUGUAGCAAGGUUAAGUACUUAAGGUACGGAGCCGAAGGGAAACCGAGUCUGAAUAGGGCGACUAGUUGCAUGCCGUAGACCCGAAACCGGGUGACCUAUCCAUGGCCAGGGUUGAAGCGAGGGUAAAACCUCGUGGAGGACCGAACCACGUUGCUGUUGAAAAAGCAUGGGAUGAGCUGUGGAUAGCGGAGAAAUUCCAAUCGAACCCGGAGAUAGCUGGGUUCUCUCCGAAUAGCUUUAGGGCUAGCGUCGAGUAUGAGUAGUGGAGGUAGAGCACUGAAUGGGCUAGGGGGCAUAGCGCUUACCGAACCUUAUCAAACUCCGAAUGCCACAUACUUUGAGCUCGGCAGUCAGACUACGAAUGAUAAGAUCCGUGGUCAAAAGGGAAACAGCCCAGAUCGUCAGCUAAAGGUCCCAAAGUGUAAGUUAAGUGGGAAAGGAUGUGAGAUUUCUAAGACAACUAGGAUGUUGGCUUAGAAGCAGCCAUUCAUUAAAAGAGUGCGUAAUAGCUCACUAGUCGAGAGAUCUUGCGCCGAAAAUGUAACGGGGCUAAACUUACCACCGAAGCUACGGGCUUGAACUUAGUUCAAGCGGUAGGAGAGCGUCGUAACCGGGCUGAAGUCGUACCGUAAGGAGCGGUGGACUGGUUACGAGUGAGAAUGUUGGCAUCAGUAGCGAGAUGUGGGUGAGAAUCCCACAGGCCGAAAACCUAAGGUUUCCUCAGGAAGGUUCGUCCGCUGAGGGUUAGUCCGGGACCUAAGCCGAGGCCGAAAGGCGUAGGUGAUGGACAACUGGUUGAUAUUCCAGUACCACUACCAUCGUUAUUAUCGAUGGCGUGACGCAGGAGGAUAGUGUGUGCUAGCUAUUGGAUGCUAGUCUAAGCGUUUAGGCAGUGAGAGUAGGCAAAUCCGCUCUCAUAAUGCUGAGGCGUGAUGGGGAAGGUUCCACGGAACCGAAGUACAUGAUUCCACGCUGCCAAGAAAAGCGUCUAGAGAGAGAAGUAGUGCCCGUACCGCAAACCGACACAGGUAGGUGAGGAGAGAAUCCUAAGGCCGGCGGAAGAAUUACAGUUAAGGAACUCGGCAAAUUGACCCCGUAAGUUCGCGAGAAGGGGUGCCUACGAGAGUAGGCCGCAGAGAAUAGGCCCAAGCAACUGUUUAGCAAAAAACACAGGUCUCUGCUAAAGCGUAAGCUGAUGUAUAGGGGCUGACGCCUGCCCGGUGCUGGAAGGUUAAGGGGAACACUUAGCGCAAGCGAAGGUGUGAACUUAAGCCCCAGUAAACGGCGGCCGUAACUAUAACGGUCCUAAGGUAGCGAAAUUCCUUGUCAGGUAAGUUCUGACCCGCACGAAUGGCGUAAUGACUUGGGCACUGUCUCAACUGUAAAUCCGGCGAAGUUGUAGUGCGAGUGAAGAUGCUCGCUACCCGCGAUUGGACGGAAAGACCCCGUAGAGCUUUACUGUAGCUUAGCAUUGAGUUUUGGUAUUGUCUGUACAGGAUAGGUGGGAGACUAGGAAACCAGGGCGUCAGCCUUGGUGGAGUCAACCUUGGGAUACCACCCUGACAGUACUGAAAUUCUAACUGGCGGCCAUGAAUCUGGUCACAGGACAUUGUUAGGUGGGCAGUUUGACUGGGGCGGUCGCCUCCUAAAAAGUAACGGAGGCGCCCAAAGGUUCCCUCAGAACGGUCGGAAAUCGUUCGAAGAGUGCAAAGGCAGAAGGGAGCCUGACUGCGACACCCACAAGUGGAGCAGGGACGAAAGUCGGGCUUAGUGAUCCGGUGGUACCUCGUGGGAGGGCCAUCGCUCAACGGAUAAAAGCUACCUCGGGGAUAACAGGCUGAUCUCCCCCAAGAGUCCACAUCGACGGGGAGGUUUGGCACCUCGAUGUCGGCUCGUCGCAUCCUGGGGCUGAAGUAGGUCCCAAGGGUUGGGCUGUUCGCCCAUUAAAGCGGCACGCGAGCUGGGUUCAGAACGUCGUGAGACAGUUCGGUCCCUAUCCGUCGCGGGCGUAGGAAAUUUGAGAGGAGCUGUCCUUAGUACGAGAGGACCGGGAUGGACUGACCUCUGGUGUACCAGUUGUUUCGCCAGGAGCACAGCUGGGUAGCUAAGUCGGGAAUGGAUAAACGCUGAAAGCAUCUAAGCGUGAAGCCAACCUCAAGAUGAGAUUUCCCAUAGCGUAAGCUAGUAAGAUCCCUUGAAGAACACAAGGUUGAUAGGUCGGGGGUGUAAGCAUGGUAACAUGUUCAGCUGACCGAUACUAAUAGAUCGAGGGCUUGACCAA
RNAcentral lists this ribosomal RNA (2615 nucleotides) under Clostridium perfringens. RNAcentral's name for it is "bacterial LSU rRNA". It matches the Rfam family "Bacterial large subunit ribosomal RNA", at positions 296 to 2925 of the family's 2925-position model. The record is from RNAcentral. Lineage: Bacteria; Bacillati; Bacillota; Clostridia; Eubacteriales; Clostridiaceae.